GACAGAGGGUGCUAGCGUUGUUCGGAAUGACUGGGCGUAAAGGGCGCGUAGGCGGUUUUCAAGUCAGAUGUGAAAGCCCCGGGCUUAACCUGGGAACUGCAUUUGAUACUGGAAGACUGGAGUACGAGAGAGGAAAGCGGAAUUCCUAGUGUAGAGGUGAAAUUCGUAGAUAUUAGGAGGAACACCAGAGGCGAAGGCGCUUCUGGCUCGUAACUGACGCUGAGGCGCGAAAGCGUGGGAGCAAACAGG
This 249-nucleotide ribosomal RNA is filed under the name uncultured bacterium. RNAcentral describes it as "partial 16S ribosomal RNA". It matches the Rfam family "Bacterial small subunit ribosomal RNA", at positions 524 to 776 of the family's 1533-position model. The record is from RNAcentral.